AAGCACUUUACCUGAUUUCCUUCGGGGAUGAUUGUUCUGUGACUGAGUGGCGGACGGGUGAGUAACGCGUGGAUAACCUGCCUCACACAGGGGGAUAACAGUUGGAAACGACUGCUAAUACCGCAUAAGCGCACAGCACCGCAUGGUGCAGUGUGAAAAACUCCGGUGGUGUGAGAUGGAUCCGCGUCUGAUUAGCUUGUUGGCGGGGUAACGGCCCACCAAGGCGACGAUCAGUAGCCGGCCUGAGAGGGCGACCGGCCACAUUGGGACUGAGACACGGCCCAGACUCCUACGGGAGGCAGCAGUGGGGAAUAUUGCACAAUGGGGGAAACCCUGAUGCAGCGACGCCGCGUGAGCGAUGAAGUAUUUCGGUAUGUAAAGCUCUAUCAGCAGGGAAGAUAAUGACGGUACCUGACUAAGAAGCUCCGGCUAAAUACGUGCCAGCAGCCGCGGUAAUACGUAUGGAGCAAGCGUUAUCCGGAUUUACUGGGUGUAAAGGGAGCGUAGGCGGUCCUGCAAGUCUGAUGUGAAAGGCCGGGGCUCAACCCCGGGACUGCAUUGGAAACUGUAGGACUAGAGUGUCGGAGGG
RNAcentral lists this ribosomal RNA (589 nucleotides) under uncultured bacterium. RNAcentral's name for it is "bacterial SSU rRNA". It matches the Rfam family "Bacterial small subunit ribosomal RNA", at positions 59 to 656 of the family's 1533-position model. The record is from RNAcentral.